RNAcentral lists this ribosomal RNA (541 nucleotides) under uncultured bacterium. RNAcentral describes it as "bacterial SSU rRNA". It matches the Rfam family "Bacterial small subunit ribosomal RNA", at positions 853 to 1398 of the family's 1533-position model. The record is from RNAcentral.
UAACACAAUAAGUAUCCCACCUGGGGAGUACGAUCGCAAGGUUGAAACUCAAAGGAAUUGACGGGGGCCCGCACAAGCGGUGGAGUAUGUGGUUUAAUUCGAAGCAACGCGAAGAACCUUACCAGGGCUUGACAUGGGGAUGACCGGUGUAGAGAUACACUUUUCUCUUCGGAGACAUCCCACACAGGUGGUGCAUGGUUGUCGUCAGCUCGUGUCGUGAGAUGUUGGGUUAAGUCCCGCAACGAGCGCAACCCUUAUUGUUAGUUGCUACGCAAGAGCACUCUAGCGAGACUGCCGUUGACAAAACGGAGGAAGGUGGGGACGACGUCAAAUCAUCAUGCCCCUUAUGUCCUGGGCCACACACGUACUACAAUGGUGGUUAACAGAGGGAAGCAAAACCGCGAGGUGGAGCAAAUCCCUAAAAGCCAUCCCAGUUCGGAUCGCAGGCUGCAACCCGCCUGCGUGAAGUUGGAAUCGCUAGUAAUCGCGGAUCAGCAUGCCGCGGUGAAUACGUUCCCGGGCCUUGUACUCACCGCCCGUC